Long non-coding RNA from Pseudophryne corroboree (corroboree frog), 2735 nucleotides. RefSeq lists it as uncharacterized. The record is from RefSeq and is a predicted model, not a curated record. NCBI's taxonomy places the organism in Eukaryota, Metazoa, Chordata, Amphibia, Anura, Myobatrachidae. The transcript is spliced from 3 exons.
CAUAAGCAAGACACAGGAAUAAGCAGCAGAGAGAGAACACGCAGGAAGGAGUGACGCAGCAGUGGGAGAGGAACAGGAGCAACACAAAGUGACACUGACAACUGCACACUGUCAAAUCACAACCCUGCUGACACCCUCAGCCUCAGGAGAGUGCAGCAAGUGACAGAGGCUGGAGAGUUUAUACCUGGGCAGAUUAGCCUACAUCUGAGGGGAAGCUGUAUAAAUCAGCAACAUCCACUGGACGGGGCGAUGGAGUCCCACUACCCAACCAACAGACGCAACGAGGCAAUGUCGGCUGCCAAACACGUCCGCCCCUUGGCAAAAGCGUUGGGGCCAGGCAUAGAGCAGCACCACCGCCCAGGAGGGAGGAGAAGGAUGCCACCGCCAUGAGGACUCUGACUUGGGAGGUAAACAGUGACAGCGGCUGAUGGGUACUUUUCUUCAGGUUGGCUGCGAUGCAAUAAGGAGGCACUGGAGUACUGCACAUAAAUUUAUAUACAGUAUAUGGCUUUGACCGAUGGCACUAAACAUGACUGUGUCGUGCAGGUAUGCUGCUGCAUUAUUUUUGAGGAUGGUGAUGUACCUGAUCCCGAAGCCAUUGGAAGGAAGCCAAAGAUCAUGACAUGGUACAGCCUUUCAUAGUGCCAGGAGGGAGCAAAGGUGAUUUUGUGACUCGACUCCUCGGCCAUCUCGAUCUGACAUUAUCUCUUUUUAAGAUGCUAAGAUAUAGGAAGCAAAUAUUGUGUCCAGAUCCUAGGAAGUCAAAGACCGUGUGUACCAAAGGCAUACGGUUGGUAUCACAUGUGGAAACACUUUUUGUGAAAGUCCACACAAAAGCAGGUACUAGGCUACCGUCUGGAUUUAGGAGUAGCACAAUAAACUGCACUAUUCACUUAAGGGCUAGGCAAUGACUUCCAGACUCAAAAUAUUUUGAACUUCCAUUUUACUACCACUCUUUUCCUUUCUUUGGUGAACAAGUAGUGGUGUAACAAUAUUGUGAAACAGCACGUCAAUUCUCACCAGCAUGGUAGGAAACACAUCUGCAAACAGGAGUAUUAUACACUUACGCAGAAACAUGGGAUAGCACUAACCAUUCCUCACACUUCUGGCCUGAUGGGCAGGUCUGGCUGUCUGAAGGCCUAGCCGAGCAGUUCUACCUGUUGGUGUUCUGCUAGGCAGGCAUGCUUAGAGAGGAUGAGCCACAAGGCUAUGGCCCCAAGACUCCCUGCACGACAAGAUGCAUGGCCACGCCUACUUUUUACUUUGCCCUAAUGCAUGGAAAGAAAGUCAGUGUAGCCCCAGUCCAUUCUUGGUCAUUAUGCACUUCAAUAGGAUCGGUAUGAAGCAAAUAAUGAAAGUAUGUUGGCUCGCUCUGUGCUACCCUUUUUCAGUGCAAACAUUGUUUCUAUUAUACAUAGUCCUUUCACUUCCCUUGCACCAUAAACCCUCCUGUUCUUAUGGUUGGUGUUGGUCUACAUGUAAUAAGGUGCUGUUGAACUGUAUUAUGUUUAUAGGAUACCAGUUUAAUAAAUGUCUCUGCUAAUCAUUUCUGCAGUACUACACUGUAUGUAUGGGAUAUAGUCACAAUACCGGCACCUACAUCCCGGCCGUUCACAAUCCCGGCAGUCGGCAUGCCGACCAACAGGGACUAUUCCCACUCGUGGGUGUCCAUGACACCCAUAGAGCCCGAUGCGUGGCUUCGUUGCGCUAACCCCCUCCUCCGGCAAUCUCACAGCUGGGAUCCCACCGUCGGCAUUGUGACCGCUGGUCACACAUACCCAACCCGCAUGUAUACAGUAUAACCAACUGUACGUUUGUUGCAUUUUCUACAGAAUACAUCUGGGUCUUUAUAAACGCUCUCUAAUAAUCAUACAAUUCCACUUUCAUAACUCUGUUUUACACACAUCUUCUAAAAUGGCGAGAGCUGUGGGAUUUCAUAUAUUUAGUCAUUGAGUUGGCAGGUGUACAUACAUAUGGGGAUUCGGAGUAAAUUAACCCAAGCGUUCUUCCAGUGUUUAUAAGAAUCACGUCAACAUAAACACCAUUAUCAGGGAUUCUACUAUUAUUUCAGUUCUAAAUUACCAAGCUUCAUGUAGCCAUUUAUUUUAAUUACCGAGGUCUAUACAACUUAAUUACUGUUUGUGUUUUCGGUGUACUGGAAAUCUGAUUGGUGCCAGAAUUAGCUUUAAAACCUAGCAAUUUAAAAUGCCAUGUACUCAUUUCAUGUUUCUAACAUAUUUCAAAGUGCAGCAGAAUAUACCGAAUACGUAACAUGUCUCUUUUUUUUUUUUUGCAGAAUAGAGAUCUUACAGAAAUGAAAUAAAAAAAACUUACAAGUCAGAUCCCCUCCUAUACUUAAAUGAAUUGCUGUAAAUGCUGUUUCUACUGUCAGUAAAAAUGCUAGCUGUCAGUAAAUUGUUAACUAAACAAGCAAGUUUUGGCCAGAUAUUUGGAUUUUUUAUUGUAGAGUAAACACAGACUUAUUAUAUUGUACAUAUCGCAGAUGUCCUACAUCUUUUCCUACCCGAGAGCCACAUUCACAGCCGAAAUCUUUCAUUAAGCCACAUGAAUAAUAUAGAGGAUGAAAGAUUACUAUAUAUUAGAAAUGUUCUGCAGAAAUUAGCCUAGUUUAGUAAAUGUAGAUUUUUUGCAAAAGUAUUUUAAAAUGGACAGAAUUUGUUAAUUUAAUUGUGAUUAUAACAAAUCUGUCACAAUCUAAACAUCUGUACAAUUCA